UAAGGAAUAUUGGUCAAUGGACGCAAGUCUGAACCAGCCAUGCCGCGUGGAGGAUGAAGGCCCUCUGGGUUGUAAACUUCUUUUAUGGGGGACGAAACCCCGGAUUUUUAUCCGGCCUGACGGUACCCCAGGAAUAAGCACCGGCUAACUCCGUGCCAGCAGCCGCGGUAAUACGGAGGGUGCAAGCGUUAUCCGGAUUCACUGGGUUUAAAGGGUGCGUAGGCGGGUUUGUAAGUCAGUGGUGAAAUCCCGAAGCUUAACUUCGGAACUGCCGUUGAUACUACAGGUCUUGAAUACUCGGGAGGUGAGCGGAAUAUGUCAUGUAGCGGUGAAAUGCUUAGAUAUGACAUAGAACACCGAUUGCGAAGGCAGCUCACUACAGAGUCAUUGACGCUGAGGCACGAAAGCGUGGGGAUCAAACAGG
RNAcentral lists this ribosomal RNA (424 nucleotides) under uncultured bacterium. RNAcentral describes it as "bacterial SSU rRNA". It matches the Rfam family "Bacterial small subunit ribosomal RNA", at positions 355 to 776 of the family's 1533-position model. The record is from RNAcentral.